RNAcentral lists this ribosomal RNA (253 nucleotides) under uncultured bacterium. RNAcentral's name for it is "partial 16S ribosomal RNA". It matches the Rfam family "Bacterial small subunit ribosomal RNA", at positions 524 to 776 of the family's 1533-position model. The record is from RNAcentral.
UACGGAGGAUGCAAGCGUUAUCCGGAUUCAUUGGGUUUAAAGGGUGCGUAGGCGGAAUAAUAAGUCAGUGGUGAAAGCCUGCGGCUUAACCGUAGAAUUGCCAUUGAUACUGUUAUUCUUGAGUAUAGUUGAGGUGGGCGGAAUGUGUAAUGUAGCGGUGAAAUGCUUAGAUAUUACACAGAACACCAAUUGCGAAGGCAGCUCACUAAGCUGUUACUGACGCUGAGGCACGAAAGCGUGGGGAGCAAACAGG